GACGAACGCUGGCGGCGUGCUUAACACAUGCAAGUCGAGCGGUAAGGCCCUUUCGGGGGUACACGAGCGGCGAACGGGUGAGUAACACGUGGGUGACCUGCCCUCAGCUCUGGGAUAAGCCUGGGAGACCGGGUCUAAUACUGGAUAUGACUCCAUGACGCAUGUUGUGGGGUGGAAAGCCUUGUGCGGCUGAGGAUGGGCCCGCGGCCUAUCAGCUUGUUGGUGGGGGAUGGCCUACCAAGGCGACGACGGGUAGCCGGCCUGAGAGGGCGACCGGCCACAC
RNAcentral lists this ribosomal RNA (283 nucleotides) under uncultured bacterium. Its description in RNAcentral is "partial 16S ribosomal RNA". It matches the Rfam family "Bacterial small subunit ribosomal RNA", at positions 28 to 313 of the family's 1533-position model. The record is from RNAcentral.